Molecule: long non-coding RNA, 334 nt
Organism: Syzygium oleosum
Lineage: Eukaryota; Viridiplantae; Streptophyta; Magnoliopsida; Myrtales; Myrtaceae
Exons: 2
Source: RefSeq, a predicted model, not a curated record
UUUUUCUCAGGAACCCAACAUUCUCGUUUACGUUUAAUUUCUCAAAUGAAGAAGCAAGCAAGAGGGUACUUUCACGAAGCCAAAUGGUUCCAUACCAGCUACACACCAACGAUGGAGGAAUACAUGCCCCUUGCAUUAUUAACGAUAGGCUAUGAAGAGAUAGCGAUCACAUCGCUUGUAGGAAUGGGCGAUGUGGUCACAAGAGAUGCUUUUGAAUGGUUGCUCGGCGACUGCAAGAUCUUGAAGGCUUCACAAAUCAUAUGUAGGUUCAUGGAUGACAUUGCUUCUCACCAGUAGGAGCAAAAGAGGGGGCACGUAGCAUCUUCGGUGGAGU